This 255-nucleotide ribosomal RNA is filed under the name uncultured bacterium. RNAcentral describes it as "partial 16S ribosomal RNA". It matches the Rfam family "Bacterial small subunit ribosomal RNA", at positions 524 to 776 of the family's 1533-position model. The record is from RNAcentral.
UACGUAGGGCGCAAGCGUUGUCCGGAAUUAUUGGGCGUAAAGAGCUCGUAGGCGGCCUGUUGCGUCCGCUGUGAAAUCCCGGGGCUCAACCCCCGGGCCUGCAGUCGAUACGGGCAGACUAGAGUGCGGUAGGGGGAGACUGGAAUUCCUGGUGUAGCGGUGAAAUGCGCAGAUAUCAGGAGGAACACCGGUGGCGAAGGCGGUUCUCUGGGCAUGUCCUGACGCUGAGGAGCGAAAGUGUGGGGAGCGAACAGG